UACGAAGGGGGCUAGCGUUGCUCGGAAUUACUGGGCGUAAAGGGCGCGUAGGCGGAUAGUUUAGUCAGAGGUGAAAGCCCAGGGCUCAACCUUGGAAUUGCCUUUGAUACUGGCUAUCUUGAGUUCGGGAGAGGUGAGUGGAAUGCCGAGUGUAGAGGUGAAAUUCGUAGAUAUUCGGCGGAACACCAGUGGCGAAGGCGACUCACUGGCCCGAUACUGACGCUGAGGCGCGAAAGCGUGGGGAGCAAACCGG
Molecule: ribosomal RNA, 253 nt
Filed under: uncultured bacterium
Lineage: Bacteria
Description: partial 16S ribosomal RNA
Rfam family: Bacterial small subunit ribosomal RNA
Source: RNAcentral